RNAcentral lists this ribosomal RNA (258 nucleotides) under uncultured Basidiomycota. Its description in RNAcentral is "partial 18S ribosomal RNA". It matches the Rfam family "Eukaryotic small subunit ribosomal RNA", at positions 624 to 886 of the family's 1831-position model. Lineage: Eukaryota; Fungi; Basidiomycota. The record is from RNAcentral.
AAGCUUGUAGUUGAAUUUCGAAUGUGGCUGGGCGGUCCGCCUCACGGUGUGUACUGUCUGGCUGUGUUCUCUUUCUUGGUGAGCCGGCAUGCCCUUUACUGGGUGUGUUGGGGAACCAGGACGUUUACCUUGAGAAAAUUAGAGUGUUCAAAGCAGGCCUACGCCCGAAUACAUUAGCAUGGCAUAAUAAAACUAGGACGUGCGGUUCUAUUUUGUUGGUUUCUAGAGCCGCAGUAAUGAUUAAUAGGGAUAGUUGGG